This 468-nucleotide ribosomal RNA is filed under the name uncultured bacterium. RNAcentral's name for it is "partial 16S ribosomal RNA". It matches the Rfam family "Bacterial small subunit ribosomal RNA", at positions 28 to 507 of the family's 1533-position model. The record is from RNAcentral.
GACGAACGCUGGCGGCGUGCUUAACACAUGCAAGUCGAACGGAAAGGCCCUGCUUUCGUGGGGUGCUCGAGUGGCGAACGGGUGUGUAACACGUGAGUAACCUGCCCUUGACUGUGGGAUAACUUCAGGAAACUGGGGCUAAUACCGGAUAGGAGCUCCUGCUGCAUGGUGGGGGUUGGACAGUUUGGGCGGAUGGGGAUGGACGCGCGGCUUAUCAGCUUGUUGGUGGGGUAGUGGCUUACCAAGGCUUUGACGGGUAGCCGGCCUGAGAGCGUGACCGGGCACAUUGGGACUGAGGUACGGAGCAGAGUGCUACGGGAGGCAGCAGUGGGGAAUAUUGCACAAUGGGCGGAAGCCUGAUGCAGCAACGCCGCGUGCGGGAUGACGGCCUUCGGGUUGUAAACCGCUUUCGCCUGUGACGAAGCGUGAGUGACGGUAAUGGGUAAAGAAGCACCGGCUAACUACGUG